This 468-nucleotide ribosomal RNA is filed under the name uncultured bacterium. RNAcentral describes it as "partial 16S ribosomal RNA". It matches the Rfam family "Bacterial small subunit ribosomal RNA", at positions 28 to 507 of the family's 1533-position model. The record is from RNAcentral.
GACGAACGCUGGCGGCGUGCUUAACACAUGCAAGUCGAACGGAAAGGCCCUGCUUUUGUGGGGUGCUCGAGUGGCGAACGGGUGAGUAACACGUGAGUAACCUGCCCUUGACUUUGGGAUAACUUCAGGAAACUGGGGCUAAUACCGGAUAGGAGCUCCUGCUGCAUGGGGGGGGUUGGAAAGUUUCGGCGGUUGGGGAUGGACUCGCGGCUUAUCAGCUUGUUGGUGGGGUAGUGGCUUACAAAGGCUUUGACGGGUAGGCGGCCUGAGAGGGUGACCGGCCACAUUGGGACUGCGAUACGGCCCAGACUCCUACGGGAGGCAGCAGUCGGGAAUAUUGCACAAUGGGCGGAAGCCUGAUGCAGCAACGCCGCGUGCGGGAUGACGGCCUUCGGGUUGUAAACCGCUUUCGCCUGUGACGAAGCGUGAGUGACGGUAAUGGGUAAAGAAGCACCGGCUAACUACGUG